Molecule: small RNA, 111 nt
Filed under: Phytobacter diazotrophicus
Lineage: Bacteria; Pseudomonadati; Pseudomonadota; Gammaproteobacteria; Enterobacterales; Enterobacteriaceae
Description: RtT RNA
Rfam family: RtT RNA
About the family: This family represents a bacterial cis-regulatory element known as RtT RNA. The exact function of RtT is unknown although it is thought that it may be involved in changing the cellular response in relation to amino acid starvation.
Source: RNAcentral
CCCCAUGCAGGGAAGGAUGAGAAGCUUCGACUAAGGUUCGAUUCGAGCGCAGCGAGAAAGCGUUGCCGCAGGCAACGACCCGAAGGGCGUGGAGCAGCGCAAACAAACAUU